Molecule: RNA transcript, 2022 nt
Organism: Lytechinus variegatus (green sea urchin)
Lineage: Eukaryota; Metazoa; Echinodermata; Echinoidea; Temnopleuroida; Toxopneustidae
Gene name: mitochondrial import inner membrane translocase subunit Tim9-like
Exons: 2
Source: RefSeq, a predicted model, not a curated record
CCCUUUAAAAAAGUUGUGGAGGAUUUGAAUGAGAAUGUAGUUUUAAAUGAGGACAAAAAUUAUGUUUCUGCUUUACUCAACUGUCUCUGGAAAUUAUUCUGCACCAGCUCGUUUAUAUGUAGGCCUACCUUAUGUCUACUCUUGUUUUCAGUUUGAAGAGAAUUUUGUUAAACUUUUACCCACUUACCACAAUAUAGGUUUGAUUUGGAUCUCUUUUUUCAAUGCUCUGAUAAAGUGCACUUAGGAUUCUGUCUGUGAUAUUAAUUCAUUCCGUCAUCAUCAACACAUGGCAACAAUCACUAUGGAUGCUGAAGAAUGUACUGCCUGAUGAAUGAACCAACAAAGCCUUGACCCAAUGAUUGGUGGAUAAAAAAUAAUGAAAUGGUUAAAACACAUUUGAUCUCAAAGACUAUACCGCCACCAUUGUUGAUGCAGAGUCAGUGCUGUCGAUCAUAUUUUAGGUAGCCCUCAUCAGGCGGCGAUCAUUUCCAGGGUGAUGGAAACAACUUUAUUUGUAAAUACAAAGGAGAGGUGAUAAAGCACGAAUGGCCUGGAAGGUGCAAAACACCUGCUCCUGAAGGUACAAUGCGUCAUGAAUAGGAAGUUCUUCAUGUUACUAUGGUAACACACAGAUACAUGAUGCAGAUAUCGCUUCUGAGCCUCUGAGGGAGACCAUUUGGAUGAUAUUUUUGCUCUGAUUUUGUUAGCUGCAGCAGGCACUGGACAUUGGUUAAAAAGGCAUUCGUCAUGUAUUACCUUUUGCUGCUGGUCAUGGAAAGAUUCCUUGACAGUUUUCAGUUCGUGUGUCUUGCAAGCUGAAAUCUUUAGGAUGUCGGAAGUGGCCAUCUAUGUAGUCAUUGCCAUCAUUAUUGUUAUCAAUGCCAUUGGAAACAUGUUAAUCAUCUUCACUUACCAGAGAGAAUCCAUCUUAAGAGUGCCUGCAAACACUUAUAUCGUGAGUCUUGCAUGUGCGGACCUCUUUUACGUGAUCUUGGCUCCAUUGUGUCUUAUAGUCUCAACGACCAUGGACAUCAGCCAGAACACUACAUGCCUUUGGAGUCUUACCCUUCUCAUGAUAAACUUUCCUGUCUCUAUUUUCCACCUUCUUCUGAUAGCUGUCGAUCGUUACACAGCUGUGACCAAACCCCUGAGGUACUUUGUGAUCAUGUCGGAAUUAAGAGUGAAUGUCUAUCUCUUCCUAGCUUGGUUCUUUGGGUUGCUGAUUGGUCUACUGCCGCAGUUUGGAUGGCACAAUGCAAUGGAUGCCCCUUUACCAGUCUGCAGCUAUCUUUUCAUCCUGCCUCAAGAGUAUUUCAUCUUCCUCUUCACAUGCUGCUUCAUUGUUCCUCUCCUCAUCAUGGUCUUCCUCUACUUUGUCAUGUUUAGAGAGGCGAGACGGCAGACCCGUCGUGUGGCGCAGCUGGAGAUAGCCGUUCUCUUUAAGAACGGUGUGCGACGGAAACCUCGCCUGAUGAAAGACAUCAAGGCCACCAUCACAGUUGGCCUUAUCCUAGGCAGCUUCAUCCUGUGCUUUUUACCUACCUGUUUAGCCUACUUUACCUACAUAGCAAACACAAACUUGGGAAACUCUGGUGUAUUCCUUAGUCUGUCUAGUGCUUGUAAUAUAACAUUGGCCCUCAGUACAGCCGUCAAUCCGUUCAUCUAUGCAUACAAGAGUCAGAGGUUCCGACAGAGGGCCUCUGUCAUUAUCCUUCGCACGCACAAUCUCCUAAAGAUUCUAUUCGGAUGUCAUGUAUAAUGGAAGAGUAUACCAUGGAAGUAUAUUAUUUGCUAGAAUAGUCUUCCAAUGUAGCUGAUGAUUCCCAGAACUUCCACUCUUGGAGUAUUUUUGCAUAUGAGAAACUACAUGUAUAUUAAAGCCAAAGCCAAAUCAUGUAUAAAUUGAACAGAUGUGUAAAUUUGCAGAAGAUUGACAUUGAGAAGCAAGUAGUUGACCCGCAGAUACAAUCCUUUCCUAUGAGAGAUCUAUUCCCUGCAGCCAAGUAGCAAUCAACACUUCAA